UUUGAGUGGCCUGCCUGGCGGCAGCUCAAUUCCGAAAAUCAAUGACAGGAUAAGCGUGUAGAAAGCUUUUGGAUGGUUUGUUUGGACGGCGGUUCGAGUCCGCCCAUCUCCACAA
Molecule: transfer-messenger RNA, 115 nt
Filed under: Bacteroidetes bacterium HGW-Bacteroidetes-14
Lineage: Bacteria; Pseudomonadati; Bacteroidota
Description: partial transfer-messenger RNA
Rfam family: transfer-messenger RNA
About the family: Bacterial tmRNA, also known as 10Sa RNA or SsrA, is named for its dual tRNA and mRNA-like properties. Its role is to liberate the mRNA from a stalled ribosome.
Source: RNAcentral